This is a long non-coding RNA of Hyalella azteca, 1521 nucleotides long. RefSeq lists it as uncharacterized. Lineage: Eukaryota; Metazoa; Arthropoda; Malacostraca; Amphipoda; Hyalellidae. The record is from RefSeq and is a predicted model, not a curated record. The transcript has 2 exons.
UUCUGCACAGUGCACAUGGCAUUUGGCUCGCGGACCGCGGUUGAAAUUGAAAGGCGCGUUAUGCUAAUUUGUGAAAUUGGGCUGGGGCCUGUGUAAGUCCUUCUCUUCAUUCUACGCUACCUAGAGACUCAAAUAGUGCGGCUGUGUUUUUUUAGAAGAGAAUAUUGCGGAAUGAAUUCUGUUGAAGAUAUGUUUCGAAAUAAGGUUAUAAAAGCGCAGUUGAUCGAAGAGGCAAAAAACAUUGCCCAUGAAGUAAGUCAAAUCACUGAGAGUUAUGAUACAACUCUGAACGACCUCAGAGCCUACCAAAGUGAAUUGCAGCGCAUAACGGCAUUCGUCGAAAAAAUUGAUGAAAAAUUAUUCAAUCAUCGUGAACUUAGUAGUGAUUAUGCUAUCAGAGUAGAAGUUACGAAGUCAACGCGGAUGAGCCUUAUAAUAACGAAAGCUUGUUUGACCAUAAAUGAUAUGCUCAGAGACAGAGUCAGAGGUCACAAGAACCAGAACUGCAAGCUAGAACUCAUAGCCCUAGCAGCAGCAACAACUUGAAGUGGUGUCACUGAUGGCGACGUCUACAACGCAUGAUGGCGCCACGCAGGAAGGAGGAGAGGAGUUGAACCAGUCACAGUGUUGUGGCUUUGAAUUGGUCAACUUUGGUUCCAUUGAUUUAAUUAUAGGCGAUAUAAUCUCGUUUUUUCAUAUUCGUAUCUCAGAAGAGGCAUGAAAUUGGAAUUCUCAAAUAUUUUAUUUACUGUAAACUUUCAGUUCUGCUUUUAUUAGAUGUCUUUGGGGUUUUCAGAGGACUCUCCUUUCAGUAGAGAGAUAUGUCUAGCUUAUUUACGCUGUACUUGAGAAUAUGCUCUUCUUUAGAUAAGUGAUACUCGAAAGGAUUUCUUUGAACCAACUUUGAUGAUACAUAUUUUUAAUCGUCAGAAAUUACAUCACUUCUGCUUCUUACAAUUUCAUAAACAUAGGUUUGUAGCAGAUGUGCAAGUUCGUCAGAACGCAAUGGUGCGUUCAGAACCAACAUCGUAGAAUAACUGUGCAGCAUAUCGUGCUAUAAAACUUGCAAGGGUUUCGUUACUGCCAGAAUCUAUGAAAUCUAAUUUUAUAGAUAACCUGUUUAAAUCGUUUAUUGCUUGCUAAAAUUUUAUUUUACAUUGUUGAGACAUUGAAUUUAUUUGAACUUAUGUUAGUUGCUUCUGUAGGUGUUGCUUGUUUUAAUGUAUAAUUUUGCCCAGUAACUUCUUUUCCAGUAGCCAAGUAAUUUUCUUUGAACUGUGCUGAAGUUAUUAUUUUUCGAGCAAGAAAUGCUACAUUUUUUAAAGGAUGCUCCGUUGGCAAUUAGAUUUAUUCGUAAUUUUGGUGCCGGUUUCUCGAUCAUGCGUUACUUUUUUGUUUCACUUGAUUUACAUUGUUUAUUUUUUAUCAAAAUAAAUCUUGAAAAUUUUCGUUCCUUAAAAAUCAAGUUGUUACGGUUUCAAAGUUGCUUCAAUAAAAUGAUUGAUAAUCGGUUGGCGGUAA